RNAcentral lists this ribosomal RNA (528 nucleotides) under Starmerella bacillaris. RNAcentral describes it as "eukaryotic LSU rRNA". It matches the Rfam family "Eukaryotic large subunit ribosomal RNA", at positions 37 to 668 of the family's 3401-position model. The record is from RNAcentral. Lineage: Eukaryota; Fungi; Ascomycota; Dipodascomycetes; Dipodascales; Trichomonascaceae.
UGCAUAUCAAUAAGCGGAGGAAAAGAAACCAACAGGGAUUGCCCUAGUAACGGCGAGUGAACAGGCAAGAGCUCAGAUUUGAAAGGCACUUUUGUGCCGUUGUAUUCUGAAGUUAGGGUCCUGAGAAACGAUGCUUAAGUCUUCUGGAAAGGAGCGCCAUGGAGGGUGAUAGCCCCGUCUAGCAUUGACCUCAUAUAGGAUCUUAACAUGGAGUCGAGUUGUUUGGGAAUGCAGCUCAAAUGGGUGGUAUGCUCCAUCUAAAGCUAAAUAUCUGCGAGAGACCGAUAGUAAACAAGUACUGUGAGGGAAAGAUGAAAAGAACUUUGAAAAGAGAGUGAAAAAGUACGUGAAAUUGUUGAAAUGGAAGGGUAGGCCGCUAACCAUGUAGAGCCGUGUUUGGGGGGAAGAUAAAUGCUGUAGAAUGUAGCUCCUCGGAGUAUUAUAGAUGCAGUUCAUAUUCCCACCCGAGCGCGAGGAUCUCAGGUUCUACUAAAUGGUGGUCUACCACCCGUCUUGAACCACGGACCA